UUGUAAUCACCGCCUUGUCCUAAUUCCAUA
RNAcentral lists this small RNA (30 nucleotides) under Arabidopsis thaliana (thale cress). Its description in RNAcentral is "ATSL154700". Lineage: Eukaryota; Viridiplantae; Streptophyta; Magnoliopsida; Brassicales; Brassicaceae. The record is from RNAcentral.